This 444-nucleotide ribosomal RNA is filed under the name uncultured Marinobacter sp. Its description in RNAcentral is "bacterial SSU rRNA". It matches the Rfam family "Bacterial small subunit ribosomal RNA", at positions 1087 to 1532 of the family's 1533-position model. The record is from RNAcentral. Lineage: Bacteria; Pseudomonadati; Pseudomonadota; Gammaproteobacteria; Pseudomonadales; Marinobacteraceae.
CCGUACGAGCGCACCCCUAUCCCUAGUUGCUAGCAGUUCGGGCUGAGAACUCUAGGGAGACUGCCGGUGACAAACCGGAGGAAGGUGGGGAUGACGUCAGGUCAUCAUGGCCCUUACGGCCAGGGCUACACACGUGCUACAAUGGUGCGCACAGAGGGCUGCAAACCCGCGAGGGGGAGCUAAUCUCACAAAACGCAUCGUAGUCCGGAUCGGAGUCUGCAACUCGACUCCGUGAAGUCGGAAUCGCUAGUAAUCGUGAAUCAGAAUGUCACGGUGAAUACGUUCCCGGGCCUUGUACACACCGCCCGUCACACCAUGGGAGUGGAUUGCACCAGAAGUAGUUAGUCUAGCCUUCGGGAGGACGAUUACCACGGUGUGGUUCAUGACUGGGGUGAAGUCGUAACAAGGUAGCCGUAGGGGAACCUGCGGCUGGAUCACCUCCUU